Small nuclear RNA from Phyllostomus discolor (pale spear-nosed bat), 191 nucleotides. RefSeq annotates it as U2 spliceosomal RNA. The transcript has a single exon. The record is from RefSeq and is a predicted model, not a curated record. Lineage: Eukaryota; Metazoa; Chordata; Mammalia; Chiroptera; Phyllostomidae.
AUCGCUUCUCAGGCUUUUGGCUGAGAUCAAGUGUAGUAUCAGUGAUUAUCAAUUUAAUAUCUGACAACUCCUCUCUCCAAGGACAUUAUAUUAAAUGGAAUUUUGGAGCUGGGAGAUGGAAUAGGAGCUUGCUGCAUCCACUCUGUGCAUCAACCCCAUAUUGCAGUACUUCUUGGAACCGUGCACCCACU